This 272-nucleotide long non-coding RNA is filed under the name Elaeis guineensis (African oil palm). RNAcentral's name for it is "long non-coding RNA (EGUI_LNC056574)". The record is from RNAcentral. Lineage: Eukaryota; Viridiplantae; Streptophyta; Magnoliopsida; Arecales; Arecaceae.
GUCAUAGUCGAGGCUGUUGAGUUACGAGUGUUUUGAAUCGAAUCGGAUUUAUGAUUAUAUUAUAUGUGAAUAUUUGAAAAUAUUAGAUUUGCAUUAAAUUAGCAUGAAAUAUAUUUUUAUAUUUAAUUUUAAUAUUAUUCUUGGAAAUUUGAUAAUAUCUGAAUUAUCUAGUUGAGAUAUUUGUUACUUACUGGGCUGUCUAGCUCAUUACCUUUCUUUCUAUUUUUCAGAUUUAGAUAAUUAAUUUCGAGCGUGGGAAGAAAUAUUGGGAC